UUACUCUAAAUCUCAAGGAAAAUGAUUUCCCUUAAUAUCUGCCUUUCCUCCAGUUUAAAAAGAACAGAAGAAAUGAUGUGUACAGAGUGGCCAUGUUUCUGUCUGGUGAGAGCACACAGAAGGCUUAGAGGACAUGGAGGGAAGAAGCGGGGAGGAAGACGUCUCCUCUGCUGAACCUUUGCAGUGUCAGUGGGGAGUCAGCGAGCUGGCUACUCCUCUGCAGCUCCUGGGGCAGAUAAGGGAGAUAUUGUCGGAGGAGGAGGAGCGUGAAGGAAAGAGGGGAGACGGGCCACAGCUCUGCGCUGCACACAGCUACAAUGGGAGAGGCGUGUUAGAGCGAGAGCAGUACAGCCGAGGGACUCGCUGCAGUGCAGGUGGAUCACAACCAGAGGCCGAGGCUCACAGGCAGCAGCGUGACUCCGACUGGCUUUCCAGCAGGCUGCUUUCUCACUGCCGUCUUGUCUUGUUGCCACUGUGCACUUGUGACAUCUUCUCCGAGCUGACAGUAUUAAGGAAGAGGACGUAG
This is a long non-coding RNA of Gasterosteus aculeatus (three-spined stickleback), 526 nucleotides long. Lineage: Eukaryota; Metazoa; Chordata; Actinopteri; Perciformes; Gasterosteidae. The record is from Ensembl.